This 117-nucleotide ribozyme is filed under the name Aedes aegypti (yellow fever mosquito). RNAcentral's name for it is "drz-agam-1 ribozyme". It matches the Rfam family "drz-agam-1 ribozyme". Lineage: Eukaryota; Metazoa; Arthropoda; Insecta; Diptera; Culicidae. The record is from Rfam by way of RNAcentral.
UGCCCAGCUACUCCUAUCCCUACCUCCUCGUGGUACUGGCCGGGGUACGAGUAACCUUGGGGAAGAUCGGGUAACCAACCCCCGGUGGGAACUUUGGUCGUAUGCUGACAGGGAAGG